RNAcentral lists this ribosomal RNA (628 nucleotides) under Vibrio sp. MI3. Its description in RNAcentral is "bacterial SSU rRNA". It matches the Rfam family "Bacterial small subunit ribosomal RNA", at positions 55 to 670 of the family's 1533-position model. The record is from RNAcentral. Lineage: Bacteria; Pseudomonadati; Pseudomonadota; Gammaproteobacteria; Vibrionales; Vibrionaceae.
AUGCAAGUCGAGCGGUAACAGGAAGAAAGCUUGCUUUCUUUGCUGACGAGCGGCGGACGGGUGAGUAAUGCCUAGGAAAUUGCCCUGAUGUGGGGGAUAACCAUUGGAAACGAUGGCUAAUACCGCAUAAUCUCUUCGGAGCAAAGAGGGGGACCUUCGGGCCUCUCGCGUCAGGAUAUGCCUAGGUGGGAUUAGCUAGUUGGUGAGGUAAUGGCUCACCAAGGCGACGAUCCCUAGCUGGUCUGAGAGGAUGAUCAGCCACACUGGAACUGAGACACGGUCCAGACUCCUACGGGAGGCAGCAGUGGGGAAUAUUGCACAAUGGGCGCAAGCCUGAUGCAGCCAUGCCGCGUGUAUGAAGAAGGCCUUCGGGUUGUAAAGUACUUUCAGUCGUGAGGAAGGCAUCAACGUUAAUAGCGUUGGUGUUUGACGUUAGCGACAGAAGAAGCACCGGCUAACUCCGUGCCAGCAGCCGCGGUAAUACGGAGGGUGCGAGCGUUAAUCGGAAUUACUGGGCGUAAAGCGCAUGCAGGUGGUUCGUUAAGUCAGAUGUGAAAGCCCGGGGCUCAACCUCGGAAUUGCAUUUGAAACUGGCGGACUAGAGUACUGUAGAGGGGGGUAGAAUUUC